UAAGGUUUGGGUGUGAUUUAACCAUGGUUAGGUGAAGAGGAGGAGUGUGCGUGUUAGAUUUUGCGGUGAAAAGCGUAAUAAAUGUUAGCUACUGACUGACUACUGAGUUAAAGUGUGUUGUGUCUUAAACCUAAAGUCAUAAGUCAAAUAUUUUUUUUUUUUUUAAAUAGAGAGAAUAAAGUCUCAUAGUAGUAAUUGGUGGUAAUGGUUCUUUUAUUUUUAUUUUUUCCUCUCGUGCGUUCAAACAUUUACUGUUGAACAGACGGACACAUUCAUACAAAACACAAGUAAUUAAGACCACAAUAUACGUUCAGCCUUGUGGUGG
This 325-nucleotide long non-coding RNA is filed under the name Capsella rubella. RNAcentral describes it as "long non-coding RNA (CRUB_LNC001778)". The record is from RNAcentral. Lineage: Eukaryota; Viridiplantae; Streptophyta; Magnoliopsida; Brassicales; Brassicaceae.